RNAcentral lists this ribosomal RNA (525 nucleotides) under uncultured bacterium. RNAcentral's name for it is "partial 16S ribosomal RNA". It matches the Rfam family "Bacterial small subunit ribosomal RNA", at positions 355 to 898 of the family's 1533-position model. The record is from RNAcentral.
UGGGGAAUAUUGGACAAUGGGCGCAAGCCUGAUCCAGCAAUGCCGCGUGAGUGAUGAAGGCCUUCGGGUUGUAAAGCUCUUUCGCACGCGACGAUGAUGACGGUAGCGUGAGAAGAAGCCCCGGCUAACUUCGUGCCAGCAGCCGCGGUAAUACGAAGGGGGCUAGCGUUGUUCGGAAUUACUGGGCGUAAAGGGCGCGUAGGCGGCCUGUUUAGUCAGGAGUGAAAUCCCCGGGCUCAACCUGGGAAUUGCUUUUGAUACUGGCAGGCUUGAGUUCCGGAGAGGAUGGUGGAAUUCCCAGUGUAGAGGUGAAAUUCGUAGAUAUUGGGAAGAACACCGGUGGCGAAGGCGGCCAUCUGGACGGACACUGACGCUGAGGCGCGAAAGCGUGGGGAGCAAACAGAUUAGAUACCCUGGUAGUCCACGCCGUAAACGAUGAAUGCUAGACGCUGGGGGGCUUGCCUUUCGGUGGUCGCCGCUAACGCAUUAAGCAUUCCGCCUGGGGAGUACGGCCGCAAGGUUAAA